UAGGGAAUCUUGGACAAUGGGGGCAACCCUGAUCCAGCCAUGCCGCGUGAGCGAAGAAGGCCUUAGGGUUGUAAAGCUCUUUCGCCUGGGAAGAUAAUGACGGUACCAGGUAAAGAAGCCCCGGCUAACUCCGUGCCAGCAGCCGCGGUAAUACGGAGGGGGCUAGCGUUGUUCGGAAUUACUGGGCGUAAAGCGCGCGUAGGCGGGCUGGAAAGUUGGGGGUGAAAUCCCGGGGCUCAACCCCGGAACUGCCUCCAAAACUAUCAGUCUAGAGGUCGAGAGAGGUGAGUGGAAUUCCGAGUGUAGAGGUGAAAUUCGUAGAUAUUCGGAGGAACACCAGUGGCGAAGGCGGCUCACUGGCUCGAUACUGACGCUGAGGUGCGAAAGUGUGGGGAGCAAACAGGAUUAGAUACCCCCGUAGUCC
RNAcentral lists this ribosomal RNA (424 nucleotides) under uncultured prokaryote. RNAcentral describes it as "bacterial SSU rRNA". It matches the Rfam family "Bacterial small subunit ribosomal RNA", at positions 355 to 796 of the family's 1533-position model. The record is from RNAcentral.